GCGGCUCCCCCCGCGCCCCUCUGGAGAGCGCGCGGGCCUGAUUGGCCAGGCCCCUCCCCGGGCCGGCUGGGCGCCAUUUUGACCCCUGGCCGCCGCCGGGGAAGGGGUGGGCGUCCUCUCCCCUGUCCUUCCCCUCUGCGGCGGAGGAGGCGGUGGCCAGGAGCAGCGAGCCGAGUCUGCGCCGUGGGAAGGCCGCUUGCUGUGAUCAUGGAACUGGCUGCCUGCAGGAAGACUUUCAGACAAGCUGUCUGUGCACCCUUUCCAUAGUGCUCAGAAUUUCUUGUAUUUGGGCCUCUCCAGGACCAAUUCGACAUGGGUCUUUGUAGUGUGUAAACAGAGAGUGCUGUUGCUCCAACUUGUCCUCUGCAGGGAAAGAACAAGCAGAAGAAAAGGCACGUCAGCUGCAUGUUGUGAACAACUGUGUGUUCUGCCACAAUGGAAAAGGCAAAUCCUCCUUCCUGCUUGUAUAAUUCUGUAGGGCUACUCUGACCCAGAUCAGGAGUAGCUUUACAGCACAGCAAUACCUUCUCUUGAUCAGAAGCCCUGCCAAACACUUGCUAAUAACAGUGCUUUCCUAUAAAGCCUUCCUGUGAAGGACACUUUUGUAGUUUCUAGCUGUAAACUGAAGUGAAACUUUUCCAACAAUUUUUUGAUACUGCAUUGUGUAGAGGGUACAAAACUGUUGUUAGAUCACACCAAGGAGAAUUGGAUUGACUUUGAUGAUGGUGUAAAUGGCUGUUUGUGGGUGUACAAACACAUCUCCCUAAUCUGAAGACAAAAGCUUGUGCUUUACUUGAUAUUGACUGCAUUUUUCAGAAGCUGUAAGAGAAAUGACAAGCAAUUGAUAAUUUGCUUGGGAUAUUAUCUGCAGCAUUAAAGCCAUUCUAAACACAA
Long non-coding RNA from Pogoniulus pusillus (Red-fronted tinkerbird), 894 nucleotides. RefSeq lists it as uncharacterized. NCBI's taxonomy places the organism in Eukaryota, Metazoa, Chordata, Aves, Piciformes, Lybiidae. The record is from RefSeq and is a predicted model, not a curated record. The transcript is spliced from 3 exons.